UGAGGAAUAUUGGUCAAUGGUCGAGAGACUGAACCAGCCAAGUCGCGUGAAGGAUGACUGCCCUAUGGGUUGUAAACUUCUUUUACAAGGGAAUAAAAUGAGAUACGUGUAUUUUAUUGCAUGUACCUUGUGAAUAAGCAUCGGCUAACUCCGUGCCAGCAGCCGCGGUAAUACGGAGGAUGUGAGCGUUAUCCGGAUUUAUUGGGUUUAAAGGGUGCGUAGGUGGGCUGUUAAGUCAGCGGUGAAAGUUUGUCGCUUAACGAUAAAAUUGCCGUUGAAACUGGUAGUCUUGAGUAUAGAUGAAGUAGGCGGAAUGCGUGGUGUAGCGGUGAAAUGCAUAGAGAUCACGCAGAACUCCGAUUGCGAAGGCAGCUUACUAAGGUAUAACUGACACUGAAGCACGAAAGCGUGGGUAUCAAACAGG
Molecule: ribosomal RNA, 424 nt
Filed under: Fusobacteriota bacterium
Lineage: Bacteria; Fusobacteriati; Fusobacteriota
Description: Fusobacteria bacterium partial 16S ribosomal RNA
Rfam family: Bacterial small subunit ribosomal RNA
Source: RNAcentral